This 253-nucleotide ribosomal RNA is filed under the name uncultured bacterium. Its description in RNAcentral is "partial 16S ribosomal RNA". It matches the Rfam family "Bacterial small subunit ribosomal RNA", at positions 524 to 776 of the family's 1533-position model. The record is from RNAcentral.
UACGGAGGGUGCAAGCGUUAAUCGGAAUUACUGGGCGUAAAGCGUGCGCAGGCGGUUUGUUAAGUCUGCUGUGAAAUCCCCGAGCUCAACUUGGGAAUUGCAGUGGAUACUGGCAGGCUGGAGUAUGGUAGAGGAAGGUGGAAUUCCCGGUGUGGCAGUGAAAUGCGUAGAGAUCGGGAGGAACACCAGUGGCGAAGGCGGCCUUCUGGACCAAUACUGACGCUCAUGCACGAAAGCGUGGGGAGCAAACAGG